AACAUGUCUUUUUGAUUAUAAUUUAAAGUCUAAUCUGCUCCAUGAAAAAUUUUUAAAUAGCUGCAGAAUUUUAACUGUACAAAGGUAGCAUAAUCAAUAGUUUUUUAAUUAGAAGCUGGAAUGAAUGAUUUAAUAAGGUAAAUAUUGUCUCAAAUUUAAUAAAAUUAAAAUUUUAUUUUUAGUAAAAAUUCUAAAAUGAAAUUAAAAGACGAGAAGACCCUAUAGAUUUUUAUAUUUUAAAUUAAUUAAAUUAAAAUUUAUAAAUAAAAUUUAAUUUAAAAGUAUUUGAUUGGGGUAAUUAUUAAAUUUAAUUAAUUUUAAUUAAUUUUAAACAAGAAUUAUUGAUUAAAUGAACUUUAUUAAAAAUUAUUAGAAUAAAAUACCUUAGGGAUAACAGCGUAAUUUUUUUAGAGAGAUCUUAUUAAUAAAAAAGUUUGCGACCUCGAUGUUGAAUUAAGAUUAAAUUUUGAUGAAAAAAUUAAAAAUUUUUGGUCUGUUCGACCAUUAAAAUCUUACGUGA
This 520-nucleotide ribosomal RNA is filed under the name Tolonus sp. BFS-2018. RNAcentral describes it as "partial 16S large subunit ribosomal RNA". The stretch from base 390 to 520 matches the Rfam family "Archaeal large subunit ribosomal RNA", at positions 2542 to 2672 of the family's 2987-position model. Lineage: Eukaryota; Metazoa; Arthropoda; Insecta; Hymenoptera; Ichneumonidae. The record is from RNAcentral.